GUACUGAAAUCAAUCUGGAAUUGAGCACAUAUACCAAAAUGGGAAUGAAGCAGAGAAGAUUAGCAUGGCCCCUGUGCAAGGAUGACACACAUAUCCAUGAAACAUUCCAUAUUUGG
Molecule: small nuclear RNA, 116 nt
Organism: Bison bison bison
Lineage: Eukaryota; Metazoa; Chordata; Mammalia; Artiodactyla; Bovidae
Source: Ensembl